Long non-coding RNA from Pongo pygmaeus (Bornean orangutan), 812 nucleotides. RefSeq lists it as uncharacterized. NCBI's taxonomy places the organism in Eukaryota, Metazoa, Chordata, Mammalia, Primates, Hominidae. The transcript is spliced from 3 exons. The record is from RefSeq and is a predicted model, not a curated record.
UGAGCUUAGAGUGACAUACACCCUGUUCCCUUAAAUAUACUACUGGUAGUCAUGUGCUCACUAUCUCUGCCUUACUCUUGAUUCCUGCCUCCAGUGAACCCAGGAUGAAGGACUGUUCCGACUCAUCAGACUCAUUAUGCCUUCUUUGCCCUGGAUCUUACACAGAAAUGCUCUCCACACCUUGCCACUGCUGCUGGGAAGGAACAGGGGAGGAGUGACAUUGAGAUUCAAGACUAUUUUUCCUACCUCUUCAGUGCCUCUUUCAGCCAUAUGAAGUUAAAACCAGGUCUCAUUCUGUCACUGAGGCUGGAGUGCAGUAGCACAAUCUCAGCUCACUGCAGCCUCGACCUUCAAGGCUCAAUCAAUUCUUCCACCUCAGCUUCCUGAAUAGCUGGGACUACAGGUGUGCACCACCAGGCCUGGAUAAUAUUCACAUUUUUUUUUUUAGAGACAGAUGACAUGGUUUGGAUUUGUAUCCCCAUGAAAAUCUCAUGUUGAAUUAUAAUCCCCAGUGUUGUAGGUAGAACCUGGUGGGAGGUAAUUGGAUUAUGGGAGUGGAUACUUCAUGAAUGGGUCAGCACCAUGCCCUUGGUACUAUUCUAGUGAUAGUGUUCUCAUGAGAUCCGGUUGUUUAAAACUGUGUAGCACCUCCCCCCACUUCUUCCUGCUUCUAACAGUGAGAUGCACCUGCUCCCACUUUGCCUUCUGCUAUGAGUAAAAGCUCCCUGAGGUCUCCCCAGAAGCAGAAGCUGCUAUGGCUUCCUGUACAGCCUGUGGAAUCAUGAGCCAAUUAAACAUCUUUUCUUUAUAAA